RNAcentral lists this long non-coding RNA (2231 nucleotides) under Gadus morhua (Atlantic cod). Its description in RNAcentral is "lncRNA (ENSGMOG00000023067.1)". The record is from RNAcentral. Lineage: Eukaryota; Metazoa; Chordata; Actinopteri; Gadiformes; Gadidae.
AUUCUUUACGAUUUAUGAUGACUAUAUGCUCUGUAAGGUGACCUUGGGUGUCUUGAAAGGCGCCUCUAAAUUAAAUGUAUUAUUAUUAUUAUUCUUUUUUAUCAAAUGUUAUGCUUAUGUUUUAACUGUAAUAUUUAUUCAUUCUUGAAGGCAUUUGCAUUCAUGAAAAGCAUUCUAUAAAUGAAGUGUAUUUUUAUUAAUAUUACCUGUAGGUCCCCGCCCACUGGUCAAGUGAAGCCCGCAGCUUCCUGCACUUGCCCAGCGAAGUCAUAUGAUCUGGCAGGGAGCAUUCCCACUGCCAACCGAGAAGACAUUCAGAAACGACGGGCAGAGGAGUACAAGAAGCACCAGGCUAGAACAAGCUCCAUUUUGAACACACUCCUCUUUGCUCCAUCCAACUCUCCACUGCAGUAUCCCAUUCAGGGUUUCACAGUACGCCCCUUGGUUCCCACUCUUAUUCCAGGUACAGUACGCUGCACUUCAGUGGUUUAAUCAAAUCGCCGCGAUACUGCUCUUCAGUUCAGUUGCUGUGCAAGUGCACUGCACAGAUAUACAUAUAAAGUGCAAUGUUCUUUUUCCUUAGCAUCCUUUCGGUGUUCAUUUAAUGUUCAAUGUAUUCCUCAGGAAAUAGUUUCACCCCGAAAGAUAUUUUGUUUCAGGUUUAGCGUUGCACGGGGUUCAAAGAAGCAGCUAUAAGGUUAGUAGUAAAACUCUGGGUGUCAAGUCAAAAUCGGGAUACAAGAGACAAUUCUGGAUGUCUUGGAGCUAAAGGUUAAAUUUCCCUGGUUCCUUGUUACGGCCCAUGUCUAACCAGCAUCAACACAGGUCCCCCUUACUAACAUAAUCAUUUGUUUCUCAUCAAGCAAGAGUUGAAAUGUAUUUUCUAUCCCUUUAAUGACAUGGCUAUGGGUCUCUCUUUAUCAGGGUUUUCCAAGCGGAACUUUUUACGGGACUUUUGGGUUUUCUUGGAAGCACUGGUGCACCUCCAAUAGGUGUUUGCAGAUUAUGUCCUGCCCGGGGUUAAACAACAGUUUUCUUCUACACGAACAACAAAUAAAUAUACAAUAACUAAAGCAUUAUUUUUACAUGAUAUUAUAUUCCAUAUAUAUAUACCAUUUUAGCCAAGCCCAGCCACAUUUUCCCAGCUACAUGUCACUUCAUUCUAUACAUCUCACCUUUUUAUAUUCUGUGAUGAAGUUAUUUUUUCUUUCGAACAAUGCAACUCUUUUCCAAUAUACUGUAUUUCUGCUUUCCUCACUCUUACUUACUUUGAUUCCACAAAGCUUGAAUAAACAGAGUAGGCCUACUGCUGCUUGAUUGUCUGCAUUUCCCUUCCUGCCUUCCUUCUGAUGUUUGCGCAACAUGGGUGACUGUAAACAACAGAAUCUUGAAUUCUGUCUCGGAAUUUUGCUCGGUCACCACUGAGUUCAACCGAGAUGGCGAGUUCGCCGUCCGAGGAAAAGGGGCGUGUUUGUGCGUGUCGCUAGGCAACGUCCUCGAACCUCCGAGACGGAUGGAUAUUAAAACGCAGAUGGUCCCACGUUCAAGCAACGCAAGGGGGUGAUUGGUCCGCUAACUAAAACCUGACGCACUAUGGAGGUAGAUUUGUGUCUUUAUUAUGCAAUCAAAAAUAAUAGGUUUGAGAGCAAAACUUUCCACACUGCAAUCAAAAAAUAGAUUUGAGAGCAAAACUAUCGACACUGCAAUCAAAAAAUGUUUUAUUGCAAGAAAAAUUAAUGUGAUAAAAAAAAUAUUAAUGGGAAUCCAAAAGUUUUGUUUGCAAACCCAAAAGUUUUGUUUGCAAAUCCAAAAGUUUUGUUUGCGAAUCCAAAAGUUUUGUUUGCGAAUCAAAAAGCUUUGUUUGCGAAUCCUAAAGUUUUGCUUGCGAAUCCAAAAGCUUUGCUUGCUGUUGAGCUGAAUCUCGUGGGCGGGACCUACGCCGAAAGAUGUAAGACACGUCUCUAUUGGCCAGUCUCGAUCGGAGUGACAGCUUGGCAACAUCUGAAAAGCCGCUGCCCCCCGACCGCCUCCAGAAGCAGAUUGUCGGCCUGUUCGUUUGUGCCUCUCAAUCCGCGGCGGCGGUCAACAACAUCGCCCUGCUCUCCUCUGCCAUGGUCUCCUUGUCGGCUGACAGGGAGGCCUACGGGAUUUUCAGGGCACGCAAGUGCGCGCACGGGACAAGCCCAUAAGGCGAAGCCUAGACGGCGUAGCCUGCAUGAAAUAGAACUCCC